AGAGUUUGAUCAUGGCUCAGAUUGAACGCUGGCGGCAUGCCUUACACAUGCAAGUCGAACGGUAACAGGUCUUCGGAUGCUGACGAGUGGCGAACGGGUGAGUAAUACAUCGGAACGUGCCCGAUCGUGGGGGAUAACGAAGCGAAAGCUUUGCUAAUACCGCAUACGAUCUACGGAUGAAAGCAGGGGACCGCAAGGCCUUGCGCGAACGGAGCGGCCGAUGGCAGAUUAGGUAGUUGGUGGGGUAAAGGCUUACCAAGCCUACGAUCUGUAGC
This 275-nucleotide ribosomal RNA is filed under the name uncultured Acidovorax sp. RNAcentral describes it as "partial 16S ribosomal RNA". It matches the Rfam family "Bacterial small subunit ribosomal RNA", at positions 8 to 287 of the family's 1533-position model. Lineage: Bacteria; Pseudomonadati; Pseudomonadota; Betaproteobacteria; Burkholderiales; Comamonadaceae. The record is from RNAcentral.